GAACUGUAAUCACAUUAUAUUAAUAAUUAAAUCAUUCUUUUUUAUUUUCAUUCUUGUCUAGAACGAACAGCAAGUUUUGAAUUGAUCGGGCUGGUCAUAGCGAUACUCUGCUUGGUGAUUUCUCUGAUUGGAAAUGUUUCUCUCAUUUGCUUCCAAACUCCGAGAGAAGAAAGUGAACAAUCUAAAGCUGCUGUCGUCCUGCAAUUAAACAGCGAGAGGGUGAAAAAUCAACAGAUUGAUGAGGAGACUAAAGUUUACUCUGCUGUGGUCUUCACCAUGAGGAAAGCUGACCGUGGUGCAGUGAAGGAUGCAAAAGUAGCGCAGAGGAAAAGGAUGUGUGCUGCUGUGAAGGAUUUUGGUUUGAAUUAGUGAGUGAAAAGGUCUGUUUGGCUACAUUUGAUUUAGCUGAUUUUAGUUUGUUUAAAGCUUAAGAAAAUGCUGAUUACCUCCAAAUAUCUACACUUAGAUAACUUAAGGAGGUGCUAUGAAUAUUCUAUCACUCAGGUUGUGACUGUAUUGGUAUGUGUAUGCAAAUGAUAUUCUAUAAUUCAUAAUAAAAUGUAUUUGUCAAACCUCCUUGGAUUAAAGGACUGUAACAUUCAGGCUUA
Molecule: non-coding RNA, 608 nt
Organism: Labrus bergylta (ballan wrasse)
Lineage: Eukaryota; Metazoa; Chordata; Actinopteri; Labriformes; Labridae
Source: RefSeq, a predicted model, not a curated record